UUAAUUUCAGCUUUACUGAUUUUUUUAGUUUCAGUUAGCAAUAAAAACACUGGCUCACUUGCAUCCCUUUUAAAAGAAGCAGAUCCCCUACCCUUUUAAUUUGUGUCCAACUUUUUUUGUGGACCAAACAUCAGAAGCUCUUUUAUUUUUUAAGGGCUGAUUUAAUGGAGAAGAACAAGGCUUUAUUUAUUUUUUAUUUUUUUUGUACCGGACAGUCUAUAAAAAGAGGCUGGCACACGGUGUGUGUGGCCGAGCGUGUGGUCCAUUUGCACAUUAAAAAGCACAUUCAUCACAGAGCGUCAGUGCUGCAAGUCGCCAGCCAGCUCUCUCAGGGUUUGGUGCAGGGCUGGGUGGAGCCAGGGCACUGGUGCAUGUCCUUGAGUGUGUGUUUGUGUGUGUGGUAUAGGACCCACCUGGUGCAGUAUUCGUGACACUCUCUCUCAUCCACUCUCUGGUUUGAGGAAUAGAGUUAGACACACACAUAAACACACACACACCUCUCGUCUUCAGGCGAGGAGGGUUUGCCACCACUCUUAGCCCAGGGCAGCCAUUUAAUACGACCUCUGUGUGUGUGUGUGUGACGGACGGACUGAGCUUGCGCUCGCAGCCAGAGACGUGCACCUUGUCCAGGACAGACGAGAACUCCGCGUGAGCUUGCGGAAGUGAGCUGCGCCCUGCCCGGGUUGAGAGAGGCUCAAGGAUGCGCCCUCUGUCUCACUCACUUGCGGACUCUCUCUUGCUUAACAGCAAGGGGGACACUUCCUCCUUUGCUCGGCGCACACUAACACCGUCCUGGGAGACUAACAUGCAACCCGUGAUUAACCUGGAAGAGAGUUAAUUUAGGAUGAGCGUCUUUUAAUGAAUUUCCACAUAUUGAAGGACGUUCCGUCCUGCUGGUUCUUGGCUUCACUGUUCCCAUCUGUCUUGUGGUCGUAGCUGUUUUCACC
Cyprinus carpio (common carp) is the source of this 947-nucleotide long non-coding RNA. RefSeq lists it as uncharacterized. The transcript has 2 exons. NCBI's taxonomy places the organism in Eukaryota, Metazoa, Chordata, Actinopteri, Cypriniformes, Cyprinidae. The record is from RefSeq and is a predicted model, not a curated record.